Molecule: small RNA, 771 nt
Filed under: Histoplasma ohiense
Lineage: Eukaryota; Fungi; Ascomycota; Eurotiomycetes; Onygenales; Ajellomycetaceae
Description: hypothetical lncRNA
Source: RNAcentral
AGCCUACUUCUGGGUGUAAAUAUCCAUCCCUCCACCGCUAUUUCGUGUUUUACACCGCAACUUUUCCCCCUCGCAUUCAUUGUUGAGGUAGAGGGCUGGUUGUCCAGUGCGUGCCCUCUCUCGUCUGACAUUAUCCUUUGAAAAGGUAUUCCUGGAAGUACGUGACACCCGACGCAUUGUCCCUCCCUCAGUGGCUCUAGCGUGCUGUGUCUGAGAAAAAAGCCCCGAAAACCUGUACGGAGAUAUCCAACGUUUAUCUCAACCUCUCACAAAAGCUCUAAGACACAGAUGCCACGGUCAAUGCAGUAGACAUGUGAUAGAGCAACACCGUUAUUGAAAAUAAUCGACCUUUCAUGGAGCCAUCCAUCCAUCCCGGUUAAAACCGUAACUAUUUUACCCGGGAGGGACACGGGAAAUCCGGGUUAGUGCCUCUGCUCCGCCCCGAUCUCAGCAAACCAACCAUCUUUCCCUAGCCCCUGAAUAACCCCACGGGUCUUUUCCUGUACGUUUUGGGAGGAUUUUGGGGCGUUCAAGUCGACAAAUCAUCCGUAAAAUGCAAUCUCGUUUAGUCGUCGCCUCUCUUUGGGGAGGAAUAAAAUUCUAAACUCUUUUUUUUCUUCUUGGAAUCCCUGACUGGCUUAAGUGCGAAUUGAGUCACACUUAUUUAUGAGCAAAAAUGAAAAUGUUAUGGAUAUUGUUCUUUAUUUGAAGCCGUGGUAGAUAUCCGAACCUGGUAAUGAGAUUGCACGGUACAAUCAAUAAACUGCGCGC